CUUCCUUCCUUCCCUUCCUCCUUUCUUCCUUUUUUAUCUUUCUCCUUUCCUUUCUUCCUCCUUUAAUUCCCUCCUUCCUUCCUUCAUCAAAUGUUUGCUGCACUGCUAACAGAGUCCAUGCUGUGCUUGGUGCGGACAAUUCUGUAGCGAACAGUGCGACAGAUAACUGGUGCUGCCUUCAGCAAGCCUACAAUCUAGCAGGCAGCCUGCAGUGAAUCGGCCACUACAUAACUCAGCACCCUCUUCCAGAGGCCAUCUCUCUCUCCAGUGGCCCCAACUGUAGCCGCUCUCGAGCCUCCGCCAUCAAACUGUGUCCUUAAGAAAAUCAUUGUUUUCUCCCCACCAGAGGAGAGAGCCGCUAAGUGCUCUGACCCCCUUGCUUCCAGCACGUUCAUACGAAUUGGGAUUUGGUGGCCUCACACGCAUAGGCUCACGAUCCUCACAGGGGACAGGGAAGACGCCACGAUCUGCAUUUUACCGACAGGAGGCGCAGGAACUUGCCGGAGAUCGCAGAGCAGGAAAGCCUAAAAGAACAUCUUGUGUCCCAGAAAUCAAGGACUGUACAAUGGGAACAGAAAACUCCAGCUGGUGGAAUCAUGUGGCCCUCAGAAAAUGCCUUCCAACUUCUAGCCUGAGAUCCUGGGAAUCUUCUCCACUGUCACAGACCUUCUGUGAGAAGGGGGGACGCUUCCCAGCUCCACGUCCCUGAUGUGGCUGCCAUGUCCUGGGGCAGAGGCCAGUGAGGAGAAGCAGCUGGGUGUAGGCGGCCAGGCCCUGGGGGCUAGAGGGGGCAGAGUCCAUUCCCAGAGCUCCUUUCAGAGUCCGCUCCCUGUCCAUGUCCUCUGAGGGCCCAGGGGUGGGCCUCCUUGCCUUUGCCUUCUUGAAGUUUCCUUGGCCGGGAGCAGUGGCUCACGCCUGUAAUCCCAGCACUUUGGGAGGCCGAGGCUGGUGGAUCACUUGAGGUCAGGAGAUAAGGACCAGCCUGGCCAGCAUGGUGAAACCUCGUCUCUACUAAAAAAAAAUACAAAAAUUAGCCGGGUGUGGUGGCGCGUGCCUGUAAUUCCAGCUACUCAGGAAGCUGAGGCAGGAAAAUCGCUUGAGCCUGGGAGGCAGAGGUUGCCGUGAGCUGAGAUCACGCCACUGCACUCCAGCCUGGGUGACAGAGUGAGACCCUGUCUCAAAAAAAAAAAAAAAAAAAAGUUUCCUAAGUCUUUGAUUCUUAGGACAAAGUGGUAAACAGACUGGGGAUUUAAAAAAAAAAAAAAAAGACUCCCAUGUGAUGGCGGGGUGGAAGGUGGAAUGCUCACUUUUCAGGUACUGGCCUUCUCAGGAAAGACCAAGACCAACAUAGAGAAGGAUGGUGGAUUUCUGGGUAUACAAAAGACCAAACAAAUCCAGAUCAUCAAGGUUAGACCCCUUGCAUUUGUGGUUGGCUUCAGUUGAGAUGAUUCCCAAGAGCUUACAUAAUAAACUUUACUUUUUUAAAAAGCAUAUUUUCAUUGAUCUUGCCAUGAUAUAAGCAAGCUAUAUCUUAUACACUUAUCUAUAUCUAUGUAAGAUAUACCAUUACCCUUUUCUUUUUUAAUACAGGGUCUUGCUCUGUCACCCAGUCUGGAGUACAGUGGCUCGAUCCUAGCUCACUGCAACCUCAAACUUCUGGGCCCAAGUAAUCCUGCUACCUCAGCCUCCCAAAGUGCUGGGAUUACAGGCAUGAGCCACCAUGCCCAGCCUCAAUAUUUUAAAAGUUUAUAUUUUACAAAAGGCUUUCACAUCCAUAUGAUUUAAUUUGAGGUAGAGAGAGUAUUAUUUCUGUUUUAUUGCUGAGGAAACUGCCUGAAUCACUUAACUAGUUGGUUGGGAAGCCAGGUCCUCUGUACUGAAUCUUGUGCCCUUGCUGUUUUUAGAGGCUGAUUAAUCCCUGAAAGGGAGAUGGGACACACAGAACCCUCUAGCUGAAAUGAAUCUCCAGAGAAUGUCUGGUUUUCUCCCUGGCUCUAGACUCUACUAAAUUCUAAAAACAUCUAAAUGCUCUUCUUUUCUUAAACUUCUCUGGGGAAUGAAAUCUAUCCUCUCAGUUACCUGUCCCAGCAACAAAUAGCCACUCUGUUUAGAAAUCCAUGCUGUAAGGCUGGGCGCGG
RNAcentral lists this long non-coding RNA (2138 nucleotides) under Homo sapiens (human). RNAcentral describes it as "HSALNT0184147". The record is from RNAcentral. Lineage: Eukaryota; Metazoa; Chordata; Mammalia; Primates; Hominidae.